RNAcentral lists this ribosomal RNA (761 nucleotides) under uncultured bacterium. RNAcentral's name for it is "bacterial SSU rRNA". It matches the Rfam family "Bacterial small subunit ribosomal RNA", at positions 8 to 796 of the family's 1533-position model. The record is from RNAcentral.
AGAGUUUGAUCCUGGCUCAGCCUGAACGCUGGCGGCGUGGCUAAGACAUGCAAGUCGCACGGACGUAGCAAUACGUUAGUGGCGAACGGGUGAGUAAUGAAUCGCUAAUGUGCCCCGGACUCUGAGAUAGCUACCCGAAAGGGUAGGUAAUAUCAGAUGAUAUGCAGCUGUCGCAUGACAGUUGCCUCAAAGGUCCGCCGGUCUGGGAGCAGGCGAUUUUGUAUCAGCUUGUUGGUGAGGUAACGGCUCGCCAAGGCGACGACGCAUAGCCGGACUGAGAGGUUGGCCGGCCACAUUGGGACUGAGACACUGCCCAGACUCCUACGGGGGGCUGCAGUAACGAAUCUUCCGCAAUGUACGAAAGUAUGACGGAGCGACGCCGCGUGCAGGACGAAGCCCUUCGGGGUGUAAACUGCUGUCAGGGGUUAGAAAGUUCUGAUCAACCCCAGAGGAAGGCACGGCUAACUCUGUGCCAGCAGCCGCGGUAAGACAGAGGUGCCGAGCGUUAGGCGGAAUCACUGGGCUUAAAGCGUGUGUAGGCGGACUUCUAAGUACCUUGUGAAAUCCCACGGCUUAACCGUGGAACUGCUUGGUAUACUGGUUGUCUUGGGCCAUCUAGGGGCUACCGGAACAAACGGUGGAGCGGUGAAAUGCGUAGAUAUCGUUUGGAACGCCAAUGGUGAAAACAGGUAGCUGGGGAUGUGCCGACGCUGAGACACGAAAGCCAGGGGAGCGAACGGGAUUAGAUACCCCGGUAGUCC